Crotalus tigris (Tiger rattlesnake) is the source of this 2156-nucleotide long non-coding RNA. RefSeq lists it as uncharacterized. Lineage: Eukaryota; Metazoa; Chordata; Lepidosauria; Squamata; Viperidae. The record is from RefSeq and is a predicted model, not a curated record. The transcript has 2 exons.
GAAUGGGGACCAAAGUAAAAGAGAUUACUAUUCUCUUCCUCCUCUGCACCUCUGUUUGGAAGGGUUGGGGCUGGUAACUACUACAUUAAUAUAGGCUACUUUUCAAGCCCCAGAAAGGCUGAAGGAGUGGUGCAAUAUUAAACCCCAGACAUCUUUCCACUUGUCUGCAUUUUCUGUGACAGCAGCAGUGUCUAAUGGUGUGAAGUUCUGGCAGUUAAAAUACUUUGAUAUGUACUUUCCCAGGCUUCAAAAGAACAGAGAGACAAUGAACUCAUGACUUGAGGGCGAGCAGAGUCAGCCAAGAGCUGGAGAAUUUAUCUUUUUUCUUUUUCUUUCAGUGUCUCUGGCAGGAGUUGAAAUAUUUUGGGAGGUGAAAGAGAUAUACAAGAAAGAAAGAGACUUGUUAGUGGUUUCUGAGGCUGCAGGUUUGAUGCCUCCGGCAGUUUUCCAGUCUGCACAGGUUUGCUCUUACUGCCACAGGUAAAUCAGGGGACAGCUCUUCAUCAGAGUUGGAAGACUUAUAAACUAUAAAAGUGCCUGCAACUCAGUCUUCGUUCCUGGCAACUCCCUGAACAGGUCUCAGAAUUUUCUUGGCCAGAAUUUGCCUCCUUCCUAGGGCUGAGAAAGAGGAACUGGACCAAGGUCACCCAGCUAGCUUCAAGCCUAAAACGGGACUAGAACGCCUGAUUUCCCAGUUACAAUCCCUUAAUCAUGAAACUCAAAACAGCUUUGACCAACCAAGUCUUACAAUGAAUAAAGAUGAUUGCCUCCUGUGCUGCCAAACCACUGCUGUACAAAGAGUAGAUGGACAUUAUUUGACCUAGUAAAAUGAACAUUAUUUGACCCUAAAUUGUGAAUAGAAAGAAUAAUAGGUUUUUGGAAGAAAAACUGGAUCUCUGAGCAACAGAAAUUGUUCUCAGCUGCUACAUCAGUGCUGAAAUAACAGUCUUUACUAAAAGGGAUAUAAUGCUACCAUUCAUAAAUAAGGUAUUCUCCACCUUAAAAGUUAAACCACUGAAAAGAUCAUAAAAAUCUGCAUGGAAGUAAUAUUCCAGGGAAUAAUAGAAAUAGGGUGAAAUUUAUGGGGAUGUGAAUCUGGGAGAGUUUCUUUUUUUCUCCUUGACAACAGCAGCUCCUAAAAUGCCACAAUUACAAGGAGAGAGGAGCAAGGAGAGAUUUCGGUUGUUGAUGAAAUCCCUCUUUUGUACUAUAGUAACAACAAUGCAAAAAUGCAAACAGAGACUGGACAACAAGAAACAUCAUUUGAAAAUGGCUUUGAAAAUAACUACUUUAAAAGAUCUGCUGCAGCCUUUCUCUCUGAUCACUUGUUUUUCUGGGCUGCCAGACUUGUUUCCAUGGCUCAUUGUCAAGGUUAGCCUAUUCUGGGCUUAUUGUCAAGGUUAGCCUCUUCUCGGAAAUAUGUAUUAUGUUUCACUUAUACUAAAUAAACAAAAAGUCUAUUGCAUAUAGAAUAUAUUACAAUAUAGAUAAAUUUGUUCUUUGGGCACCAAACACACUGUCCUUAUGUAAGUAAAGACAAGAUACAUACAAACAGCAUAAGGGAAUAUUUCGAAGGGUUGAAAAAUUAUGGGGGAUGGUAGGCAGAAUGAAGAAGGGAAGAAAAAGCUGAAGAAAUAUAGAUGGACUAAUGACCAAGUCCGUGAUAGAGGCUAAUGACAUCUACAUUAAAAGUGAGACAAAAAACACAAGGAACAAUAAGGAUAAAAUUUAUAGAUUUCAUAAAAGUCAAACAUUUCUUUAAAAAGUAAUCAAAGCAAAUCAGGUGUAAGAAAAGACCAACAGAAUACAUUUGAGCUGCUAUUUCAUUUUCUCUUUUUUCCUCCAAGUAAAUUUUAUAAGUAGCAGGAAAGUAAGAUAUAAACCAGUAGAACAGCAUUCCUCCCAGUGUUCUGACAACAGAGUUUGUUGAAUGAUAAAACUCAUGGGUUAGUUAUUCAUAUCAAAAUCAGAAUACCCAUCAUACCCAUUAAAUAUCACACACACACACACACACACACACACACAAACUUACUUUUGUCUAUAUAGGGAAGGAAAGCUAAAGCUUAAAACAGAAUCUGAGGCUGCAGAGCAAAAUCUCCAAGUAGUCUUUGAAUUUGAUACUUGACUUAAAUAAAUUUGAAUAUUCAAUUCAAAAA